Long non-coding RNA from Mustela lutreola (European mink), 684 nucleotides. RefSeq lists it as uncharacterized. NCBI's taxonomy places the organism in Eukaryota, Metazoa, Chordata, Mammalia, Carnivora, Mustelidae. The transcript is spliced from 7 exons. The record is from RefSeq and is a predicted model, not a curated record.
CGUGAACUCACAUCAUCACAAGAAUAAGGAAAGGCAACUGAGAUAAGACAUCAAGAUGGACUUCUUGUUCUGAAAGGACUUGAACUCCUGAGUAGGCCUCAGUUAUAGAACCAGUAUGAUAUCAAAACAGAAUUCAGUGACACUUGUGAUAAAGACCAGAGUGACCUGUGGUCCCAGAAGCGGAUGAUCCUCCUCCCAAUGAGUUGUCAGCUAUCAUUGUCAGUGCAGUCUUCUGAAGCAGGAACAGCCAGGAAGUGGGUUCUAGGUUUGGUUCUGCCAGCUCACCACCUCAACAGCACCUGCUGAAUCUCCCUUCUCAUUUGUAUUACACUCACUUGCCCGACCUUCUUUCUAGAGUGUUGUGAAUACUGCACCUCUUAUAAUAAAGCCUCAAUGUCGUAUGAUUUGCAUAUAUUCCUACAGAGAUGAAAAACUACAAAAGCAUUUGCACUGUAUCAUCCCCACCCCAGUCUAUGUAUUCCCUGAAAGUAAAGAAGAAAAUGGUCAAAGAAAACAAUGUAAAAAUGCUUUAAGCUGCAUAAGGAAUAUUCAAGAUGAAAGGUCAUGGGAUGACACAGUGAUCAAGCCUGGAAGAGAGGCUUCACCAGAAACCAAUGCUUGAGAGCGCCCUGGUCUUAUUUAUACUUGUAGCUUCCAGAACCACGAGAAAAUAAAUUUCUGUUG